Molecule: ribosomal RNA, 564 nt
Filed under: uncultured bacterium
Lineage: Bacteria
Description: bacterial SSU rRNA
Rfam family: Bacterial small subunit ribosomal RNA
Source: RNAcentral
CCUACGGGAGGCAGCAGUGGGGAAUUUUCCGCAAUGGGCGAAAGCCUGACGGAGCAACGCCGCGUGAGGGAUGAAGGCCUCUGGGCUGUAAACCUCUUUUAUCAAGGAAGAAGAUCUGACGGUACUUGAUGAAUAAGCCACGGCUAAUUCCGUGCCAGCAGCCGCGGUAAUACGGGAGUGGCAAGCGUUAUCCGGAAUUAUUGGGCGUAAAGCGUCCGCAGGCGGUCUUGUAAGUCUGUCGUUAAAGCGUGGAGCUCAACUCCAUUUCGGCGGUGGAAACUACAAGACUAGAGUGUGGUAGGGGCAGAGGGAAUUCCCGGUGUAGCGGUGAAAUGCGUAGAUAUCGGGAAGAACACCAGUGGCGAAGGCGCUCUGCUGGGCCAUAACUGACGCUCAUGGACGAAAGCUAGGGGAGCGAAAGGGAUUAGAUACCCCUGUAGUCCUAGCCGUAAACGAUGAACACUAGGUNUCGGGGGAAUCGACCCCCUCGGUGUCGUAGCUAACGCGUUAAGUGUUCCGCCUGGGGAGUACGCACGCAAGUGUGAAACUCAAAUGAAUUGACGG